GACGAACGCUGGCGGCGUGCUUAACACAUGCAAGUCGAGCGGUAAGGCCCUUUCGGGGGUACACGAGCGGCGAACGGGUGAGUAACACGUGGGUGACCUGCCCUCAGCUCUGGGAUAAGCCCGGGAAACUGGGUCUAAUACUGGAUAUGACUCCAUGACGCAUGUUGUGGGGUGGAAAGCCUUGUGCGGCUGAGGAUGGGCCCGCGGCCUAUCAGCUUGUUGGUGAGGUAACGGCUCACCAAGGCGACGACGGGUAGCCGGCCUGAGAGGGCGACGGCCACACUGGGACUGAGACACGGCCCAGACUCCUACGGGAGGCAGCAGUGGGGAAUAUUGCACAAUGGCGCAAGCCUGAUGCAGCGACGCCGGCGUGGGGGAUG
This 380-nucleotide ribosomal RNA is filed under the name uncultured bacterium. Its description in RNAcentral is "bacterial SSU rRNA". It matches the Rfam family "Bacterial small subunit ribosomal RNA", at positions 28 to 410 of the family's 1533-position model. The record is from RNAcentral.